GACGAACGCUGGCGGCGUGCCUAAUACAUGCAAGUAGAACGCACAGUUUAUACCGUAGCUUGCUACACCAUAGACUGUGAGUUGCGUACGGGGGAGUUACGCGUAGCUAACCUGCGUGGUAGCGGGGGAUAACUAUGGCAAACGAUAGCUAGUACCGCAUAAUAUUAAUUAUUGCUUGAUAAUUAAUUGAAGGGUGCAAUGGAACCACUACCAGAUGGACUGGCGGUGUAUUAGUUAGUAGGCGAGGUAACGGCGCACCUAGGCGGGGAGACAUAGCCGCCCUGAGAGGGUGGUCGGCCACACUGGGAGUGUGACACGGCCCAGACGGCUUGAGGAGGCAGCAGUAGGGAAACUUGAGGAAUGGACGAAAGUCUGAGCGAGCAACGCGGCGGGAGUGAGGAAGGUCUUCGGAUGGUGAAGCUCUGUUGUAGGGGAAGAACGGGUGUGAGCGUGGAAAGUUCAGACUGUGACGGUAUCUUAUCAGAAAGGGACGGCUAACUACGUG
RNAcentral lists this ribosomal RNA (505 nucleotides) under uncultured bacterium. Its description in RNAcentral is "partial 16S ribosomal RNA". It matches the Rfam family "Bacterial small subunit ribosomal RNA", at positions 28 to 507 of the family's 1533-position model. The record is from RNAcentral.